AUUGAACGCUGGCGGCAGGCCUAACACAUGCAAGUCGAACGAGUGGCGGACGGGUGAGUAAUGUCUGGGACACUGCCUGAUGGAGGGGGAUAACUACUGGAAACGGUAGCUAAUACCGCCUACCAUCACCUGUGCCCAGAUGGGAUGGGCUUGUGGGGGGGGUAACGGCUCACCACGGCGACGAUCCCUAGCUGGUCUGAGAGGAUGACCAGCCAACCUGGACCUGAGACACGGUCCGGACUCCUACGGGAGGCAGCAGUGGGGAAUAUUGCACAAUGGGGGAAAGCCUGAUGCAGCCAUGCCGCGUGUAUGAAGAAGGCCUUCGGGUUGUAAAGUACUUUCAGCGGGGAGGCGUUACCCGCAGAAGAAGCACCGGCUAACUCCGUGCCAGCAGCCGCGGUAAUAC
Molecule: ribosomal RNA, 406 nt
Filed under: uncultured bacterium
Lineage: Bacteria
Description: partial 16S ribosomal RNA
Rfam family: Bacterial small subunit ribosomal RNA
Source: RNAcentral